This 889-nucleotide ribosomal RNA is filed under the name uncultured archaeon. Its description in RNAcentral is "bacterial SSU rRNA". It matches the Rfam family "Archaeal small subunit ribosomal RNA", at positions 1 to 879 of the family's 1478-position model. The record is from RNAcentral.
UCCGGUUGAUCCUGCCGGACCCGACUGUUAUUUGGGUGAGAAUAAGCCAUGCGAGUUGAAUGGGAUACCUAAAUUUCCCAUAGGGAACUGCUCAGUAACACAUGAUCAACUUACCCUAUAGAGAAACAUAACCUCGGGAAACUGAGGAUAAUAUUUCAUAGUUGAAUAGGCUUGGAAAAGUUUUUCAAUAAAAGAGAUAAAAAAAAUGGUUUUUAUCUGCUAUAGGAUAGGAUCGUGGACGAUUAUGGUUGUUGGUGGUAACGGCUCACCAAGCCGAUAAUCGAUAGGGGCCGUGAGAGCGGGAGCCCCGAGAUGGGUACUGAGACAACGACCCAGGCCUUACGAGGCGCAGCAGGCGCGGAACCUCCGCAAUACACGAAAGUGUGACGGGGUUACCCAAAGUGUUCAAUUUUGAACUGUGGUAGGUGAGUAAUGUUCCCUACUAGAAAGGAGAGGGCAAGGCUGGUGCCAGCCGCCGCGGUAAAACCAGCUCUUCAAGUGGUCGGGAUAAUUAUUGGGCUUAAAGUGUCCGUAGCCGGUUUAGUAAGUUCCUGGUAAAAUCGGGUAGCUUAACUAUCUGUAUGCUAGGAAUACUGCUAUACUAGAGGGCGGGAGAGGUCUGAGGUACUACAGGGGUAGGGGUGAAAUCUUAUAAUCCUUGUAGGACCACCAGUGGCGAAGGCGUCAGACUGGAACGCGCCUGACGGUGAGGGACGAAAGCCAGGGGAGCGAACCGGAUUAGAUACCCGGAUAGUCCUGGCCGUAAACGAUGCAUACUAGGUGAUGGCACGGCCAUGAGCCGUGUCAGUGCCGUAGGGAAACCGUUAAGUGUGCCGCCUGGGAAGUACGGUCGCAAGGCUAAAACUUAAAGGAAUUGGCGGGGGAGCAC